CCUCGUGCACCUGCGACGGCGAGAUGAGGUGCACGUGGGAGUCGAUGCCGCCCGCCGUGAGGAUCCUGCCCUCGCCCGAGACGACGUCGGUCGACGGCCCGAUGAGCAGGUCGGGGUGGACGCCGUCGGCGACGUCGGGGUUGCCGGCACGCCCGAGCGCGACGAUCCGCCCGUCGCGGAUGCCGACGUCCGCCUUGACGAUCCCCCACCAGUCGAGCACGACGGCGUUCGUGAUGACCGUGUCGAGGGCGCCCUCCGCGCGCGUCGCCGUGCCCUGA
This 278-nucleotide small RNA is filed under the name Cellulosimicrobium sp. CUA-896. Its description in RNAcentral is "5' ureB small RNA". It matches the Rfam family "5' ureB small RNA". The record is from Rfam by way of RNAcentral. Lineage: Bacteria; Bacillati; Actinomycetota; Actinomycetes; Micrococcales; Promicromonosporaceae.